Long non-coding RNA from Pipistrellus kuhlii (Kuhl's pipistrelle), 921 nucleotides. RefSeq lists it as uncharacterized. NCBI's taxonomy places the organism in Eukaryota, Metazoa, Chordata, Mammalia, Chiroptera, Vespertilionidae. The transcript has 4 exons. The record is from RefSeq and is a predicted model, not a curated record.
AAACGAGGGGAAGAAAUUUGGGCGAUGAAGACGUAAUGAGGAUUGCGAAUGCAUCUGUCGACUGCCAGCCAACCGGCAGAGCGGAGCCUUCUGGAGGGCAAGGAAGAGAUGCAGCUUCGAGGCUGGGGUGCCCCUGCGAGCCGUCCCUGGUGGAGAGGAGCUGGAGAUGAGGAGCAGGCGACAGCAUUGGGGGCAGCCCCUUCCGGCCCACAUCCCGAAGGCUCCCUGCACUGCAGCCCUUUAGCCAGUCGUUCUGUCCCUCAUCUGCCCGCAGGCCCUGUGCUUGUCUAGUCUAUCCUACCCUGCCCUCUGCCCACCUGCUUUCCUCACGGGGCGUGCCCUUUUCUCCCAUACAAUGGGGGCUAGUCCAUAGGACUGCCGAGACACGGGGUGGUCCCUUGAAUGAUGAAGAAAACAGAGGCCCAAAGAAGCUAAGAAACUCACCCAAGACCACUCAGGAGGUAGAGGCAAAGAGACAAAGCUGGAAAAGUCUCUAACUUCCUGUCUGAUGUGCCACCUCACAGCUGCCUGACUGCCACCAGUCCCUGGUGCCCUUCCCGGUAGAUCCAAUCACAGACAUUAUUGGGAGAGUCAGGGUUCUCUGCUAGGCCCUGUGGUGUCCACAUUUGUUGGAGGAGAUAAGACAUUGAAAAGCCACCUGGAUGGUGCCAGGAUAGUCCUGAAACUGCAAGAUGUUGGACGUGAGGGUGAAAGGAGCCUGGAUCUCCGAGUCACUGCAUGGAGCAGAGAUAUCCAGGAAAGCUGCCAGACAUUGAUCAGCGUUUGUGCAAAUACUAAACACUUUCUCAUUUGUAAAGCCACUGAACUCUGGAGGCUAUUUGUUAGAGCAGCUAGUGGAAAUUGCUGUGACUAAUAUAAAGAGAUUGAACUUCAUGGGAUGCAGAUAGGAAAUGAUUUUAU